Molecule: ribosomal RNA, 254 nt
Filed under: uncultured bacterium
Lineage: Bacteria
Description: partial 16S ribosomal RNA
Rfam family: Bacterial small subunit ribosomal RNA
Source: RNAcentral
CACGGAGGGUGCGAGCGUUGUCCGGAAUUAUUGGGCGUAAAGAGCUCGUAGGCGGUGUGUCGCGUCGGCCGUGAAAACCUGCAGCUUAACUGUGGGCGUGCGGUCGAUACGGGCAUCACUGGAGUUCGGCAGGGGAGACUGGAAUUCCUGGUGUAGCGGUGAAAUGCGCAGAUAUCAGGAGGAACACCGGUGGCGAAGGCGGGUCUCUGGGCCGAUACUGACGCUGAGGAGCGAAAGCGUGGGGAGCGAACAGG